CUCAUCUCCAGCUCCCUCCCCAAUCACUCUCCCGAGCUCAAAGAGCUCUCUUCGCAGCCCAUCGCCGCCGUGGUCGCCUCAGCCCACAGGCUAAAUUCGGAUGAGCCGAACCCCCUCACUCCAUUCUGCUGCCACCAUCCUAUUCCCCACUCCUCGGUGCACCUCCUCCACCCCUCGCCCCCUCGCCGGAGUAGCAGAAGGCUCCGUCUUCAAGUUCAACCGCCACCGGAGCCGCCUCUGUUCCCCUCUCCUCGCGGUCGCCCCGCCCCUCUCCGGUGCCGUCUGACCUUGGGGACGGGUGCGGCCGGUCCUCCCGCGCCCGUCGGUGGCCUCGGCUUGGCCGGGGACUGCCGAAGCUGCCCGGGUCAUUGCCGGCGUCGAGCUCUUCUCUCUGCAUCGCGGGCGGCGUCGGGAAGGAGAAGAAGGCCCCGUCCCCUCCCUGCCAGCUGGCCGGUGGGCCUCGCGGUCCCACCCGUCAGCCGCACACCCCGCUGACCCCACCACCGCUGAGGUGGAUAAGUGGAAGCGGUAUUCUAGAAAUACGUUUUCUUGCGAUGAAAGCGUACUCUGGUGUUCUGCAGUCAGAAAUGCGUUUUCACUUCAAUGAAAGCGUAUUCUCUGGAUUGCACGUUUUGUUUUUCUAGCCGAGGGCCUGUUUGUGAUGAUUUCUUUACAAAUAGGUCCCUGCCAGGAAAACAUUCAUAUCUUUUUACUCCCAACUCCAAAUCAGCCCCCUCCGAGAGAGUAUGUUUUUCGGCGAUCCUUUCCGCGAGUUUCUCGCACUUUCUCCCGGUGAUUUCUUCCACCCCAGGCAAGCCACACCCUCCAUUUGCAUCACUGUAAUGCAGUGACAUGGUUUAAUCUAUUUGAACUUGUUUAAAAUAUUGCUUUAGCUACAUGACUUUGUGCAUGUCAUUUUCUCGGAGUAUUAUGUUGAUCUUGUUGUUGCAAUGCUAUUGUUUGGAUUACUAGGAUUUAUGUUUGUAGUUGAUGAGUAUCAUGUUGCCAUUGGAUUAUUAGUGGUUGGUAUUAUUAUUAUUUCCAUGAUGGUAUCUGUUAUUAUAUUUUGGAGUAUUACUUUGGAUAUCAUGCUGCCUUUGGAUUAUUAGUGGUUGGUAUUAUUAUUAUUUCCAUGAUGGUAUCUGUUAUUAUAUUUUGGAGUAUUACUUUGGAUAUCAUGCUGCCUUUGGAUUAUUAGUGGUUAGUAUGAUUAUUUUCAUGAUGCUAGUUGAUGUUCUGUUGCUUGGAGUAUUAUUUUCGGAAAUGAUGUUUACAUGUGGAUCUUAGCCGAAUAGCUUUAUUCUUGUUAUUGGACUAGUAGGAUUAUUGUUUUCGGAUCCAUCAUGACAGUAGUGUUGCGCUACCCUUGGAGUAUUUUGAGAUGAUGAUAUUAUGCUUGAAUUAUUUGUUGGAUAUUGCUAUGAUUUGGAUUAUAGUUUGAUAGUUGAUAUCGGAGUAUCAGUUACCACAAUUAUAUUUUUGGGGAUAAAUUCUGUCAUUAAGUUGGUCAGGUGCCGCCGAACCGGGCUUUCUCCAGUGCAACCACAUUUGCCUUUUUGGGAAGGCCCUAAUGCGGUCUAUUGUCGUGCCUCUUGCCGGUGCCUCCAACUAGGGAAGGUUAUGGGCGUGCGUACCCUGGCCCGGUAAGCAGACAUAACCUUGUGUGCCCGUUGUUGUUGUUGUACCCGGGUUAUCCCUGUGUGGGACCGUUUAUUGUUUUGGCCACGACGGUGGCCGUUGGUGUCUUUGGUAGACACGGGGCCACCCAGGACUAGCCCAGUGGGGAGUGAGUCGGAGUGGCCGGGAGAGUGUCAUGGCAGUAGAUCGGUUUUGUCGGAACGCCGUUGGUCCACCCGAAUGGGAGUGCGAGGCCAUGGGUUCCGUGGUGUGGGUACAGUGCGCUACCUCUGCAGAGUGUAUUUAAUCUAUCGAUAGUCGCAUCCGUAUUAGGUCCCACCGUUCGAUCAACACUCACAUGACGGAAUGACUUAUUUGUGAUAUAUAUAUGUUGAUAUUUUGAGCAGUACAGAAUGGCAGGAUGUUGAUGAUGAUGUUGGAGACCAAGUGUUGGUCAUGGUUGUGAUCGCCGGAAAGAUCACCAUUUGGUUUUAAUCACGAGGUGGUCGAGAUGGUAUAUUGCUUGGCCGGUUAGCCAAGAGAGAUAUGGUUAUGGAGAUCUGAGAUGGUGAUUUAUCAGUAUUGUAUCAGUUUCAUACCAUGCUUAGUAGUUGCCGGCGUAUCAUGAUAGGUGUUAAUUUAAUUAACCUGCUUAAUGCUAUGUUAUUGCCUUGCCUUGAUGUUUAUGGUUGUUGUGAGCUUGCAAGUACAUUCAAUGUACUGACCUGGCGUGUCAUGCCAGAUUGCAGGUGAUGCCAUGUUUGCUUGAUUGCUGGUCAAGGUUGCCGUGCGUGCGAGCUAGAUCGUGUCCCAGCCAGAGUCCCUGCGGAGUGGAGUUCACCACCUUCGUCGUUGUUCCGCUGCUAGAAGUAUUCCGCUGUUACGAGUUGUUUCACUACUAGCAUAGAGCAAGUAUAGUAUCGCAGGCGUAGUGUCGCCGUGCUGAUGUGCUUCUUUGUAACAUCAGACCCGUGUAAUUUUUAUUCUUGUAAUAAGAGAUGAAUUGUUCUAUGUCAAGCAGUGACGUAUUCCAGAGA
Long non-coding RNA from Aegilops tauschii subsp. strangulata, 2654 nucleotides. RefSeq lists it as uncharacterized. Lineage: Eukaryota; Viridiplantae; Streptophyta; Magnoliopsida; Poales; Poaceae. The record is from RefSeq and is a predicted model, not a curated record.